Molecule: ribosomal RNA, 423 nt
Filed under: uncultured bacterium
Lineage: Bacteria
Description: bacterial SSU rRNA
Rfam family: Bacterial small subunit ribosomal RNA
Source: RNAcentral
AAGACCUUGCGCUUUUGGAGCGGCCGAUGUCUGAUUAGCUAGUUGGUGGGGUAAUGGCCUACCAAAGCUUCGAUCAGUAGCUGGUCUGAGAGGACGGCCAGCCACACUGGGACUGAGACACGGCCCAGACUCCUACGGGAGGCAGCAGUGGGGAAUUUUGGACAAUGGGCGCAAGCCUGAUCCAGCCAUGCCGCGUGAGUGAAGAAGGCCUUCGGGUUGUAAAGCUCUUUCAGCCGGGAAGAAAAGGCUGCGACUAAUAAUCGCAGUUCAUGACGGUACCGGAAGAAGAAGCACCGGCUAACUACGUGCCAGCAGCCGCGGUAAUACGUAGGGUGCGAGCGUUAAUCGGAAUUACUGGGCGUAAAGGGUGCGCAGGCGGUUUUGUAAGUCAGAUGUGAAAUCCCCGGGCUUAACCUGGGAGCU